RNAcentral lists this ribosomal RNA (465 nucleotides) under uncultured bacterium. RNAcentral's name for it is "partial 16S ribosomal RNA". It matches the Rfam family "Bacterial small subunit ribosomal RNA", at positions 338 to 795 of the family's 1533-position model. The record is from RNAcentral.
CCUACGGGAGGCAGCAGUAGGGAAUCUUCCACAAUGGACGAAAGUCUGAUGGAGCAACGCCGCGUGAGUGAAGAAGGGUUUCGGCUCGUAAAGCUCUGGUGGUAGUGAAGAAAGAUAGAGGUAGUAACUGGCCUGUAUUUGACGGUAAUUACUUCAAAAUUCACGUCUAACUACGUUCCAGCAGCCGCGGUAAUACGUAGGUGGCAAGCGUUGGCCGGAUUUAUUGGGCGUAAAGCGAGUGCAGGCGGUUCAAUAAGUCUGAUGUGAAAGCCUUCGGCUCAACCGGAGAAUUGCAUCAGAAACUGUUGAACUUGAGUGCAGAAGAGGAGAGUUGAACUCCAUGUGUAGCGGUGAAAUGCGUAGAUAUCAGGAGGAACACCGGCGGCGAAGGCGGCCUGCUGGACCGCGACUGACGUUGAGGCUCGAAAGCGUGGGGAGCGAACAGGAUUAGAGACCCGAGUAGUC